CAGCAGCCGCGGGAAUACGAAGGGGGCUAGCGUUGUUCGGAUUUACUGGGCGUAAAGCGCACGUAGGCGGACUUUUAAGUCAGGGGUGAAAUCCCGGGGCUCAACCCCGGAACUGCCUUUGAUACUGGGAGUCUUGAGUUCGAGAGAGGUGAGUGGAAUUGCGAGUGUAGAGGUGAAAUUCGUAGAUAUUCGCAGGAACACCAGUGGCGAAGGCGGCUCACUGGCUCGAUACUGACGCUGAGGUGCGAAAGCGUGGGGAGCAAACAGGAUUAGAUACCCGGGUAGUCCCUGUCUCUUAUAC
This 301-nucleotide ribosomal RNA is filed under the name uncultured bacterium. RNAcentral describes it as "partial 16S ribosomal RNA". It matches the Rfam family "Bacterial small subunit ribosomal RNA", at positions 509 to 807 of the family's 1533-position model. The record is from RNAcentral.